Molecule: ribosomal RNA, 363 nt
Filed under: uncultured bacterium
Lineage: Bacteria
Description: bacterial SSU rRNA
Rfam family: Bacterial small subunit ribosomal RNA
Source: RNAcentral
GAUGAACGCUAGCGGCAGGCUUAACACAUGCAAGUCGAGGGGUAUUGGUUUUCGGACCAAGAGACCGGCGCACGGGUGCGUAACGCGUAUGCAAUCUACCUUUUGCAGAGGGAUAGCCCAGAGAAAUUUGGAUUAAUACCUCAUAGUAUAGUACUUUGGCAUCAAGGAACUAUUAAAGUCACAACGGCAAAAGAUGAGCAUGCGUCCAUUAGCUAGUUGGUAAGGUAACGGCUUACCAAGGCUACGAUGGGUAGGGGUCCUGAGAGGGAGAUCCCCCAACUGGUACUGAGACACGGACCAGACUCCUACGGGAGGCAGCAGUGAGGAAUNUUGGACAAUGGGGCNCAAGUCCUGAUCCAGCCA